Molecule: long non-coding RNA, 188 nt
Organism: Oreochromis niloticus (Nile tilapia)
Lineage: Eukaryota; Metazoa; Chordata; Actinopteri; Cichliformes; Cichlidae
Exons: 4
Source: RefSeq, a predicted model, not a curated record
CAGGACAACCUUUACUGUGGUCGCACAAAUAUAAAUGAAGACCUGCUGAGAACUGGAGACCUCAGUCUGACCCUGAAAUACCCCACAGAGAGAGACAGUGGAGGAUACAUCUGCAUCAUCUACAGGGACAAAGACAUCCUGAGACAGAAAGUAGUGCUGCAGGUCAAAGAACGAUCUUGGGCCAGAGU